AGCGAACGCUGGCGGCAGGCCUAACACAUGCAAGUCGAGCGGGCAUCCUUGUGGUGUCAGCGGCAGACGGGUGAGUAACGCGUGGGAACGUGCCCUUCGGUUCGGAAUAACUCUGGGAAACUUGAGCUAAUACCGGAUACGUGCGAGAACAGCAAGGUUUAUCUGCCGAAGGAUAGGCCCGCGUCUGAUUAGCUAGUUGGUGAGGUUAUGGCUCACCAAGGCGACGAUCAGUAGCUGGUCUGAGAGAAUGACCAGCCACACUGGGACUGGGACACGGCCCGGACUCCUACGGGAGGCAGCAGUGGGGAAUAUUGGACAAUGGGGGCAACCCUGAUGCAGCCAUGCCGCGUGAGUGAUGACGGCCUUAGGGAUGUAAAGCUCUUUUCUCCGCGACGAUAAUGACGGUACCGGAGGAAUAAGCCCCGGCUAACUUCGUG
Molecule: ribosomal RNA, 437 nt
Filed under: uncultured bacterium
Lineage: Bacteria
Description: partial 16S ribosomal RNA
Rfam family: Bacterial small subunit ribosomal RNA
Source: RNAcentral